GAUGAACGCUGGCGGCGUGCCUAAUACAUGCAAGUCGAGCGAGAAUUUUUCAAAUGACACUUCGGUUGAUUUUGGAAAAGGACAGCGGCGGACGGGUGAGUAACGCGUAGGCAACCUGCCCCUGACAGAGGGAUAGCCAUUGGAAACGAUGAUUAAAACCUCAUAACGCCGAAGGAACACAUGUUUCAUCGGCCAAAGAUUUAUCGGUCAGGGAUGGGCCUGCGUCUGAUUAACUAGUUGGUGAGGUAACGGCUCACCAAGGUGACGAUCAGUAGCCGACCUGAGAGGGUGAUCGGCCACAUUGGAACUGAGACACGGUCCAAACUUCUACGGAAGGCAGCAGUAGGGAAUCUUGCACAAUGGGCGAAAGCCUGAUGCAGCAACGCCGCGUGAAGGAUGAAGGCCUUCGGGUUGUAAACUUCUGUUCUUAGGGAAGAAGAAAGUGACGGUACCUAAGGAGAAAGCCCCGGCUAACUACGUGCCAGCAGCCGCCGCCG
This 497-nucleotide ribosomal RNA is filed under the name uncultured bacterium. Its description in RNAcentral is "partial 16S ribosomal RNA". It matches the Rfam family "Bacterial small subunit ribosomal RNA", at positions 28 to 523 of the family's 1533-position model. The record is from RNAcentral.